CUCUCUGUAUCAUCUGAAGAUGUAAUACAUGAAACGCUCGUGGUAGAUAAAAACUUUAAUUAAAGGGGAAGAAUUGUUAAUGUAAUUAUAAACAAUAAUAAAAUGUUUUAAAAUAAAUAAGCAACAAAAAUUUAUUAGUUUAAUGAUUAUUCUAAAUAACAAAAUCUCUUUUUUAUAUCAAUUGGAGUAAAACAUGUGACGUUUGGAAUGGAGUAAAACAUAGAUUCCAAAAUGGAGCGAUUUCAUUUACAUGUGAAUGAUAAAAAAAAUUCUUUGGAUAAAGAACGUAAAUAAAAAUAGAAAAUUUAAUGAAAAAUCAAAAUUUUAAAAGUGAUGGAAUAAAGUUCAAAGCAGUUGCUGUAGAUAUAAUCAGGGACAUAAUAAAUAAUUAUAUUCAUAAUGAUCUUCCAUCAGAUGUGAACUUUAAGGUAAUGAAACUGAAUUCAAAUGAAACAGAUGUAGUUUUGCCAGUAUGUCACCAACAUGUGUCAAAUGAUUUGAUAUUCAAAAUUUUGCUGCCACAACAAGUUGAUGAUCUUAUUCAGAAGAAAAAAAAGAAACCCUCUAUAUGUGUAACUUGCAAUUCAAAUAUUGCAAAAAUGAAGUUCCUACCAUGCUACCACAUUGUUUACUGUCGAAGUUGCUGUGCGUUAGCAGAAGCAUGAGAAUGAUGACUUCAGGUGUCCACUCUGUCGAAGAGUAAUAACUGAGACGAUUUUACGGCGUUAAAUUUUAUUAUAAUGAUAAUUUUCACAUUAUUCAGUUUGAAGAUUAUUACGUUUUAUCUUAAAUUAAUAACUAUGUUUUAUGAAUAAAAUAUGAAUAAUAAACAUUA
This is a long non-coding RNA of Chelonus insularis, 835 nucleotides long. RefSeq lists it as uncharacterized. Lineage: Eukaryota; Metazoa; Arthropoda; Insecta; Hymenoptera; Braconidae. The record is from RefSeq and is a predicted model, not a curated record. The transcript is spliced from 3 exons.